AUAUGUCCUCGUUAGGUGAGGCUCCUAUACGAAUAUAGGCCACUGCCCGGAAACAUCGAGAGAUGCCAAUGGGUAGAACAGGGAUUGCCGGAUUAAGGCUUUUCAUAAUGUGGCUAAGAGGCAUGUGCCUCUUUACGUUGUAUAGUGCCAAAACUGUACCAGGGGGAACGGUG
This 173-nucleotide small RNA is filed under the name Paenibacillus alvei. RNAcentral describes it as "Magnesium sequence". It matches the Rfam family "M-box riboswitch aptamer (ykoK leader)". From Rfam's summary of the family: M-box riboswitch, also know as ykoK leader is described as a metaloregulatory RNA that sense divalent metals and function as a genetic control element of genes related to divalent metal transport in bacteria. It was first reported upstream of the B.subtilis ykoK gene and genes with related functions in other bacteria. Lineage: Bacteria; Bacillati; Bacillota; Bacilli; Caryophanales; Paenibacillaceae. The record is from RNAcentral.